This 500-nucleotide ribosomal RNA is filed under the name uncultured soil bacterium. Its description in RNAcentral is "bacterial SSU rRNA". It matches the Rfam family "Bacterial small subunit ribosomal RNA", at positions 26 to 525 of the family's 1533-position model. The record is from RNAcentral.
AGAUUGAACGCUGGCGGCAGGCCUAACACAUGCAAGUCGAGCGGUAGAGAGGUGCUUGCAUCUCUUGAGAGCGGCGGACGGGUGAGUAAUGCCUAGGAAUCUGCCUAGUGGUGGGGGAUAACGUUCGGAAACGGACGCUAAUACCGCAUACGUCCUACGGGAGAAAGCGGGGGACCUUCGGGCCUCGCGCCAUUAGAUGAGCCUAGGUCGGAUUAGCUAGUUGGUGAGGUAAUGGCUCACCAAGGCGACGAUCCGUAACUGGUCUGAGAGGAUGAUCAGUCACACUGGAACUGAGACACGGUCCAGACUCCUACGGGAGGCAGCAGUGGGAAUUUUGGACAAUGGGGGAAACCCUGAUCCAGCCAUCCCGCGUGUGCGAUGAAGGCCUUCGGUGUAAAGCACUUUUGGCUAGGAAGUAAACGGCGUGCCCUAAUACGGACGUCACUGACGGUACCUGCAGAAUAAGCACCGGCUAACUACGUGCCAGCAGCCGCGUAACG